GUCUCUUCAAGCUAGUCAGUGAAACUGACUGCCUGUUAAAAAGCAGGCAUACRAAAAUAAGACAAAAAGACCCUGUGAAACUUCAARUGUCUUCCAACCAGAUGUAAGACAUUUUUCGGUUGGGGCAACCUACGAGAACUAAACCUCAUAAAAUCAUAAGGCACACAAGCCRAACAGCACCAAUGAUCCAGUACCACUGAUCAAAGAACAAAGCUACUCCAGGGAUAACAGCGCCACAUUCUUAAAGGUCCAUAUCAACAAGAAUACCUACGACCUCGAUGUUGGAUCAGGGCACCCAAAUGGCGCAGAAGCUAUUAAAGGUUCGUUGUUCAACGAUUAAAGU
This 343-nucleotide ribosomal RNA is filed under the name Draco maculatus. RNAcentral describes it as "partial large subunit ribosomal RNA". It matches the Rfam family "Bacterial large subunit ribosomal RNA", at positions 2018 to 2594 of the family's 2925-position model. The record is from RNAcentral. Lineage: Eukaryota; Metazoa; Chordata; Lepidosauria; Squamata; Agamidae.